RNAcentral lists this transfer RNA (72 nucleotides) under Daphnia pulicaria. Its description in RNAcentral is "tRNA-Thr". It matches the Rfam family "tRNA". From Rfam's summary of the family: Transfer RNA (tRNA) molecules are approximately 80 nucleotides in length. Lineage: Eukaryota; Metazoa; Arthropoda; Branchiopoda; Diplostraca; Daphniidae. The record is from RNAcentral.
GCCUCCUUAGCUCAGUGGUAGGGCGUUGGUCUCGUAAACCAAAGGCAGAUAGUUCAAUCCUUUCAGGAGACA